GAUGAACGCUGGCGGCGUGCCUAAUACAUGCAAGUCGAGCGCACGGACGAGAAGCUUGCUUCUCUGAUGUUAGCGGCGGACGGGUGAGUAACACGUGGAUAACCUACCUAUAAGACUGGGAUAACUUCGGGAAACCGGAGCUAAUACCGGAUAAUAUUUUGAACCGCAUGGUUCAAAAGUGAAAGACGGUCUUGCUGUCACUUAUAGAUGGAUCCGCGCUGCAUUAGCUAGUUGGUAAGGUAACGGCUUACCAAGGCAACGAUGCAUAGCCGACCUGAGAGGGUGAUCGGCCACACGGGAACUGAGACAGGGUCAAGACUCCUACGGGAGGCAGCAGUAGGGAAUCUUCCGCAAUGGGCGAAAGCCUGACGGAGCAACGCCGCGGGGGGGAUGAAGGUCUUCGGAUCGUAAAACUCUGUUAUUAGGGAAGAACAUAUGUGUAAGUAACUGUUCACAUCUUGACGGUACCUAAUCAGAAAGCCACGGCUAACUACGUG
This 497-nucleotide ribosomal RNA is filed under the name uncultured bacterium. Its description in RNAcentral is "partial 16S ribosomal RNA". It matches the Rfam family "Bacterial small subunit ribosomal RNA", at positions 28 to 507 of the family's 1533-position model. The record is from RNAcentral.